This is a non-coding RNA of Physcomitrium patens, 1286 nucleotides long. NCBI's taxonomy places the organism in Eukaryota, Viridiplantae, Streptophyta, Bryopsida, Funariales, Funariaceae. The record is from RefSeq and is a predicted model, not a curated record.
CCUGCUCUUUCUCUGUCGCUUGUUCAUCUCAAUCCUGCUGCUCCUGCUGCUCGUGCUGCUGCUGCGUCUUGUUGCUAAUGUGGUUGCCGUUGUUGCUGCUGCUGAAGAAGGGUGCGCGAGCAGCGCUCCGCCAUGGCCUCCUCCGCUGCCCCAGCCUGCGCUUCUUCUCUUCCCUGGCUCUCGUCACCAGUCCCCAGCUCGAGGCUCUCUUCUCCCGAGCUCUCGCGAUGCGGAGUUGUGUGGAGGUGUUGCCCAAUUGGUGGGAUCGUGAGAGGGGUGCGCUAUGGGGCGACUUGGAGUUACCCGUCUCUACGGAGACGAAGCGAAUAUGGGUUAUUCGCGGUGGCGAGAAUGACGAAUCGCGAGAAGGAUGUGGUCAUUGAGAAGGAUGCGAGAGAGCAGGAGCAGCAGGAGGAGCCUUUGUUGUUGCGGAUUGGCGUCUUUCUCGUUACCGAGAUUCUGCGCCUCUUCUCCAAUUUCGGGAGGGCAGCUCCGAGUCUGCGACUGCAAUCGUGGAGGUAGAACAAUCUCCGGUUGAAAAUCAGACUGUGCUGGAAGUUCUUCGAGAGGAUUAUGAACGAGCCUACUUUCUUACAGGAGAUUUUACUCCAACGCUUUACGCAGACGAUUGCUUAUUCGCAGAUCCCACUAUCCAAUUUAGAGGACGAGAUAGAUACCAACGCAAUUUAAAGCUCUUGGUACCAUUCUUCGAAGAGCCUAAACUGAUCCUUUUCGACAUACAAGAGGAGGGCGAGUUGCAGGAUUCGAAAUCACGUCAACACAAGUCUAUCAACGCAAACUGGAAUUUGAGGACUUAUCUUCGGUUGCCGUGGAAGCCUCUGAUCGAUGUCGAUGGCUCUACAUUAUACGUCCUGGAUGCAAACUCAAAGAUUGUGAAGCAUAUUGAGAGCUGGAGUAUAAGUGGCUGGCAAGCAGUGCAACAGUUGUUUGUGCCCUCUGACAGAGCCUUUCGAAGUUCUUAGUCGGUGUUUUUAGCACGUCGAUGACUUUGUAGUAUUAUAUGCUUUUAUCUUCUGAAGCUUUUCAUAUUUCGAAACAUGCAGGUGAAGAGCACCAAUUCUCAGUAACUAUCAUCAACUAAUAUCUUGUGUCCUAAAUGUUGAGACCUUGAUAUUGAAUUGGACAGGUAAAUGCGUUUACAAAAAUCGAUUAAGAUAGAGUUUGUAAUUUUUGACUAAACAGUAUGGUUGAUUGGUAAAAGAUUUGCUGUUAAAUGAAUCGUGGUCUUUUUCAAUAUAGUGACAUGUUUGUUUUGGUUUUGCAAA